RNAcentral lists this ribosomal RNA (497 nucleotides) under uncultured bacterium. Its description in RNAcentral is "partial 16S ribosomal RNA". It matches the Rfam family "Bacterial small subunit ribosomal RNA", at positions 28 to 507 of the family's 1533-position model. The record is from RNAcentral.
GAUGAACGCUGGCGGCGUGCCUAAUACAUGCAAGUCGAGCGAACAGACGAGGAGCUUGCUCCUCUGACGUUAGCGGCGGACGGGUGAGUAACACGUGGAUAACCUACCUAUAAGACUGGGAUAACUUCGGGAAACCGGAGCUAAUACCGGAUAAUAUAUUGAACCGCAUGGUUCAAUAGUGAAAGACGGUUUUGCUGUCACUUAUAGAUGGAUCCGCGCCGCAUUAGCUAGUUGGUAAGGUAACGGCUUACCAAGGCAACGAUGCGUAGCCGACCUGAGAGGGUGAUCGGCCACACUGGAACUGAGACACGGUCCAGACUCCUACGGGAGGCAGCAGUAGGGAAUCUUCCGCAAUGGGCGAAAGCUUGACGGAGCAACGCCGCGUGAGUGAUGAAGGUCUUCGGAUCGUAAAACUCUGUUAUUAGGGAAGAACAAAUGUGUAAGUAACUAUGCACGUCUUGACGGUACCUAAUCAGAAAGCCACGGGUAACUACGUG